Molecule: long non-coding RNA, 3463 nt
Organism: Oreochromis niloticus (Nile tilapia)
Lineage: Eukaryota; Metazoa; Chordata; Actinopteri; Cichliformes; Cichlidae
Exons: 2
Source: RefSeq, a predicted model, not a curated record
CCUGAGAAAUAUACAAAUAGUCAAGUAAACUUAACUACCUGCUGACUCACAUGAAGUACUCCAUCUACUCUAACCCCAUGUUAUGAAGGCAAGAAAAUUGAUUUUUAUCUAAACAAUAGUUUCAGUUAGUUUUAGUUCGGUUUUUUUAACUUAGAAAAUUACAUCUAAUACUUUGAUCAGGUUAGGCUUUAGAGUACUUAAGGGACCACUGAGGUUGAAGAACAGUCCUAUGCAGAGCUUUGAUGACCAUCAUCAACAUGUUUUAGCUGCAAACUCAUCAAAGGGGCUGCGUGAAAAAUAUGUUGAACAACCAGUUUGUUGGCUACUAUUGUUUCUCAGUCCUUUAGCUUAGCUCCUGCCGGCAUGGGAACAAAAAAAAGUGAAGUGUUAAAAACAAUGAAAAUUCUCCACUGAAGCCACUGUCUGUGCUUCUUGUGCUGCUUUUUUGAUCUCUUGUUUUUUCCUAUGCUUCCCCACUUAAAGGUGAUCUCAACUGUUGCUUUCUUUUCCAUUCAAGCCCACUUUUGAACCAAUAAGCAUCUGCGCAUUUAUAUGAUAAGUUAUUUAAGGACACGGACACUCUGUCCUCUCUGGACGUCAUAUUUCAAACCUGUUUCUAGAACAAAAUGACUGUGUGUGACUGUGUGUACAGUAGUUGGAGUAAUGUGUGCCUACACCGCUUACUUGGGCUACCCUUGUAAAAACCUGUAAAUUAUUGAAUGGUUGUCAAACCACAACUUUAUUGACAUAUACUGUCAAAAAUCAUCAUUAAGAGUACAGGGGAGAUCAUCUUUAUGAGGGAAAGAAUUAAGACACCUGACUGGCAGGGGGCUUACAAUUGUGUUUUUACAUGUCAUGUGAUAUUAGUGGUCACUAGGGGAGGAGCUGUAGCAUACUAAUUGCAACAUUGUGCAACAUACUGAUACUGAAUUCUCUCCAACGUGUUCAUCUAAGUAAAUGAGUGUGGUAUAAAGUGCUUUGAGUGCUCGAAUAGAAAAGGGCUUCAAAAGAACCAGUCCAUUCACAAUCAGUAGCUGUGUAUUCAAACUUCACUUUAGAUCAGAGGUGUCAAAUUCUUUACAGCCCACUUUGAUCUCCAGUGCGUGGGAUCACUCUAUAAAAAACUAACAUAUUUCUUUUUUGUUUAGAGUAAAGAAAUGCAGCCUGAAAAUGUUCCCAUUUAAUGAACCAUGAACAGCUGGCCUGAUGUGUCUUUAGAACAGUAGGUGCAAUUUGAAAUACAUGUCUUGGGUUUUCCACAUGCUGCCAGUCUACUGUCAUGAGAAAUAAAACAUGUGAGCACAGCUCUUUGGUUUAACCAUCUACCUUUAAUGUGGUAUAAAAGGUCAUGACUAUAAAAGUGCUUUAAUCAAUUUUUAACAACUUACAACACUAAGCUUCCUGGCUUCAUACUUUAUAAAGUGGAUCCAGUGAGUCAGACUGGUCCCUUUGGAAGGCUGGUUCUCGCCCUCUAGCUAUAUGGUUUACACCCAUGCGUGAAGUGAUAUUUCAUUUAGUUCAAAUGAACUAAAUGAAAAUGCAGUACAGAAAAAGAGAAGCAGGCGAUAUACGUUUAGUUUCAAUACUUCUUUUCUCGUCUUUAAGCGUAGUAAAAAUGACCCCUGUAGAAUGUGGUUAGCUGAACCAAAACUAAGAAUAAGCCCACUUGCAUUUCAUGACAUGACGGGUUGGGAUCAAAAUCUUGAGGGCUGUCCAAUCAGCAUUUACCUGUUAAAUAUCGAUUGAAUUUGUGAAAAAAUUAAGCUGAAUGAGUGGUAAACCCCUACACAGAGAGCAUUCUUGGCACAGGAUUGCUCAGUGGUCGCUCAACAGGACAUCAUGCUGUAACUUUAACGCUCAGGUUUCUAACUUUGAAAGCAACAUUCUUUUUUUUUAUAGUUAUUCAACACAGCAGAACUACCUCAAAACUAUCCACCUUUAACAUAAAGACUCCCUUGUAGAAUUUGAUUCCUAAAUUCAACGAGUAUAUUUAAGAAAUCCUAAAAGGAGUAAAAGGCCCUGCACUUAUUUUAAAAUUAAAUGUAAAUAAACACGUAUAAAAACCAUUCAGUGAAAUCCUACAAAUCUGUUUAUAUACAUCAGUGGCAUACUGGGGGUUUCUUAUCAGCCUUAUCUGCAGAAUUUCCUCUAAAUGCAUCCAAUUGCUGCUGUUGCAGCACUGCAACAGGGGCAUUACUGCUGCCGCUGGAGACGAGGGCAAACAAACAAGACGUUGUAACUUAGCUCAGUUUUAUCCAUGCAGAUACUAAAAUACUAACACAAGAACAACGGAUGGCCAUCUCCAACUCCAGCGUAAGGAAUUAAAUGAAAAUAUGUCUAAAUGAAACCCAAAUGAUUGGAACAUCUGUGCUAUAUCUAUCAUUUUCUUCACAGUUUAUUUUUCUUUAUAUGCACAAGUUCAGUUCUUAACCUCUAAAAAUCCCCUAACAAAUGAAACAUCCCUGGGUCGAUCCCAAGAGGAGACACAAAUCCCUUAGAGGGGUUGCGUCAGGAAGGGCAUCCGGUGUAAAAAACAAUAAGCCCUAUCAAAUAUGCGGACCCUAACCCCAUGUGAUUACUGGAGCAGGUGAAAGUAGCUUCACUUUUCUGGAUGUUUUUGUCAGGCCCAGCAGAUAUUCUCAUCUCUUACAAACUGUAUGCAAAAACUGUGAGGAUGGAAAAUAUAGAGAACAUAUUACAGACUAUUAAACUCAAACACUGGCUCAUUAUGAAAUCCUGAGAAGUGGAGACAGAUCCUUUUGGAGACUUGCAUUCACCGAUAAAAGCAGCGGGCUUCCUGAAAGAAAUAUAUUACUGCUACGCAGACUACAGAAUUACUGCUAAAUCAACCCAAGCUAAAUCAUCGUCUGGAUCUUUCUUUUUUUUUUUAAUUGUUAUUUUUUCCAUAGGGGGUGUUUGCCGGUCGGUGUCACUGCAUUGUAUCGUAUUGUAUUUAUAAAGCCGUUUUCAAAAGAUCACAGCCAAAGAGCUCGCACUGAUAAUAUACCGUGAAAUCACACUUUGUAAAGAUAUUAUUUUGAUGUUAAUGUUAAUUAUUAACGACAUGACAAUAAUGUCUCCGUACAUUAUGUCACCUUUGCAUGCCUCUUGAUGACAAGCAGAGCAAGACGGCUUCAAGGCUAACAGGCUGCUAACGCUGCCUCUUAUCGUGAAGCACACUCUCCCUAACCAACUACUUAUCGCUCUACCGGGUGGACAUCUUAAAGCGAUAAGAAAAAGCAAGGCUAAAAGGUGGAUCAGAUAUCAGCUCUAACGGAAGGUUAAGAGAAGAAAUCCCUUUACCUUUGACUGGGGAAGUGUACGCCAUGAUGACUUCUGAAAUCAACACGACCCGUUCUCACUACUGAGCAGGCAGCACGGAGCCGACCAAUCAGAUCACAGAGAUCUCUGACCAUGCCCAUCUGUCGACUACUGACAAAAUUAAAACAUUUUUACAGCAAAA